Molecule: ribosomal RNA, 484 nt
Filed under: uncultured bacterium
Lineage: Bacteria
Description: partial 16S ribosomal RNA
Rfam family: Bacterial small subunit ribosomal RNA
Source: RNAcentral
AUUGAACGCUGGCGGCAGGCCUAACACAUGCAAGUCGAGCGGAUGAAGGGAGCUUGCUCCUGGAUUCAGCGGCGGACGGGUGAGUAAUGCCUAGGAAUCUGCCUGGUAGUGGGGGAUAACGUCCGGAAACGGGCGCUAAUACCGCAUACGUCCUGAGGGAGAAAGUGGGGGAUCUUCGGACCUCACGCUAUCAGAUGAGCCUAGGUCGGAUUAGCUAGUUGGUGGGGUAAAGGCCUACCAAGGCGACGAUCCGUAACUGGUCUGAGAGGAUGAUCAGUCACACUGGAACUGAGACACGGUCCAGACUCCUACGGGAGGCAGCAGUGGGGAAUAGUGGACAAUGGGCGAAAGCCUGAUCCAGCCAUGCCGCGUGUGUGAAGAAGGUCUUCGGAUUGGAAAGCACUUUAAGUUGGGAGGAAGGGCAGUAAGUUAAUACCUUGCUGUUUUGACGUUACCAACAGAAUAAGCACCGGCUAACUUCGUG